This 84-nucleotide transfer RNA is filed under the name Fasciola hepatica (liver fluke). It matches the Rfam family "tRNA". Rfam says of the family: Transfer RNA (tRNA) molecules are approximately 80 nucleotides in length. The record is from Rfam by way of RNAcentral. Lineage: Eukaryota; Metazoa; Platyhelminthes; Trematoda; Plagiorchiida; Fasciolidae.
GGCAUCGCAGCUCAGCUGGUAGAGCACUCGCGGUUUUAAGGAGAGGGUGGGGACCAUGCGUGGGUUCGAAUCCCGCCGAGGCCA